AAAAAAAUAAAAAAUAAAAUAAAAUUUAAGAUGAAUCGGUUAUAAAUAAGUAACCUAUUUUUUAUUAUAAACCGGUUAUAAAUUGGUUCCGAACCAAUUAUAAACCAUAUCCAAAUUAGUUUUGCAAAAUAACCAAUUUUUCAUUAAAAUGGUUUUGGAUAUAAACCAAAACCAUAAAUAUGGUUUGGUGUGGUGUGGUUUUUAAACCAUGCACACCCCUAC
Molecule: long non-coding RNA, 222 nt
Filed under: Trifolium pratense (red clover)
Lineage: Eukaryota; Viridiplantae; Streptophyta; Magnoliopsida; Fabales; Fabaceae
Description: long non-coding RNA (TPRA_LNC007407)
Source: RNAcentral